AAAUUGAAGAGUUUGAUCAUGGCUCAGAUUGAACGCUGGCGGCAGGCCUAACACAUGCAAGUCGAGCGGUAGCACAGAGAGCUUGCUCUCGGGUGACGAGCGGCGGACGGGUGAGUAAUGUCUGGGAAACUGCCUGAUGGAGGGGGAUAACUACUGGAAACGGUAGCUAAUACCGCAUAAUGUCGCAAGACCAAAGUGGGGGACCUUCGGGCCUCAUGCCAUCAGAUGUGCCCAGAUGGGAUUAGCUAGUAGGUGGGGUAACGGCUCACCUAGGCGACGAUCCCUAGCUGGUCUGAGAGGAUGACCAGCCACACUGGAACUGAGACACGGUCCAGACUCCUACGGGAGGCAGCAGUGGGGAAUAUUGCACAAUGGGCGCAAGCCUGAUGCAGCCAUGCCGCGUGUGUGAAGAAGGCCUUCGGGUUGUAAAGCACUUUCAGCGGGGAGGAAGGCGAUAAGGUUAAUAACCUUGUUGAUUGACGUUACCCGCAGAAGAAGCACCGGCUAACUCCGUGCCAGCAGCCGCGGUAAUACGGAGGGUGCAAGCGUUAAUCGGAAUUACUGGGCGUAAAGCGCACGCAGGCGGUCUGUCAAGUCGGAUGUGAAAUCCCCGGGCUCAACCUGGGAACUGCAUUCGAAACUGGCAGGCUAGAGUCUUGUAGAGGGGGGUAGAAUUCCAGGUGUAGCGGUGAAAUGCGUAGAGAUCUGGAGGAAUACCGGUGGCGAAGGCGGCCCCCUGGACAAAGACUGACGCUCAGGUGCGAAAGCGUGGGGAGCAAACAGGAUUAGAUACCCUGGUAGUCCACGCCGUAAACGAUGUCGAUUUGGAGGUUGUGCCCUUGAGGCGUGGCUUCCGGAGCUAACGCGUUAAAUCGACCGCCUGGGGAGUACGGCCGCAAGGUUAAAACUCAAAUGAAUUGACGGGGGCCCGCACAAGCGGUGGAGCAUGUGGUUUAAUUCGAUGCAACGCGAAGAACCUUACCUGGUCUUGACAUCCACAGAACUUAGCAGAGAUGCUUUGGUGCCUUCGGGAACUGUGAGACAGGUGCUGCAUGGCUGUCGUCAGCUCGUGUUGUGAAAUGUUGGGUUAAGUCCCGCAACGAGCGCAACCCUUAUCCUUUGUUGCCAGCGGUUAGGCCGGGAACUCAAAGGAGACUGCCAGUGAUAAACUGGAGGAAGGUGGGGAUGACGUCAAGUCAUCAUGGCCCUUACGACCAGGGCUACACACGUGCUACAAUGGCAUAUACAAAGAGAAGCGACCUCGCGAGAGCAAGCGGACCUCAUAAAGUAUGUCGUAGUCCGGAUUGGAGUCUGCAACUCGACUCCAUGAAGUCGGAAUCGCUAGUAAUCGUAGAUCAGAAUGCUACGGUGAAUACGUUCCCGGGCCUUGUACACACCGCCCGUCACACCAUGGGAGUGGGUUGCAAAAGAAGUAGGUAGCUUAACCUUCGGGAGGGCGCUUACCACUUUGUGAUUCAUGACUGGGGUGAAGUCGUAACAAGGUAACCGUAGGGGAACCUGCGGUUGGAUCACCUCCUUACCUUAAAGAA
Molecule: ribosomal RNA, 1550 nt
Filed under: Klebsiella quasipneumoniae
Lineage: Bacteria; Pseudomonadati; Pseudomonadota; Gammaproteobacteria; Enterobacterales; Enterobacteriaceae
Description: bacterial SSU rRNA
Rfam family: Bacterial small subunit ribosomal RNA
Source: RNAcentral